UUAACCCUGCAUUUCAAUGCACUUAAAUUUUUCUGAGUCGUAAAUAUGUAUGUUGGAUGUCUGAAUGCAUCAUUCUUUUUUUAUUUGAUGGUCUUAUAAAAUAUUUUGGAACGUUAAGGUUACAUAGUUACCAGAUCAAGUAACCAGUAAAUAACAGUGUAAAAAUUGGGUUGUUUACUUCCGGUGAUGAUUAUUUUCUUAUAUGCAAUGAAAUGUAGUGUGAAAUUUUCACUGUGUCACUGGAAAGGAUUAAACUUUACACAUGCAAAGUAUUUCUUUGGUUGAAAUAAAGUGUUAACCAUGUUCUGAAGAGCAUUCUAUUGAAAAAUCUUAUAUGUGAAUUGGUCUGCAGAUGACACUUCAGCAUUAAAACAAAAGAUAUCAAGUUUUGAUGAAAAAGGAAGGAAGGAGGAAAAAUGGAUCAAAACAGACCAAAACAGACCUUCAAAUGAACUCUAAAAGGUGCAAUAAAAUUGUUUAUCAUCUUAAA
Molecule: long non-coding RNA, 490 nt
Organism: Mytilus trossulus (common blue mussel)
Lineage: Eukaryota; Metazoa; Mollusca; Bivalvia; Mytilida; Mytilidae
Exons: 3
Source: RefSeq, a predicted model, not a curated record